RNAcentral lists this ribosomal RNA (1357 nucleotides) under uncultured bacterium. Its description in RNAcentral is "bacterial SSU rRNA". It matches the Rfam family "Bacterial small subunit ribosomal RNA", at positions 28 to 1394 of the family's 1533-position model. The record is from RNAcentral.
GAUGAACGCUGGCGGCGUGCUUAACACAUGCAAGUCGAACGAUGAAGCCCAGCUUGCUGGGUGGAUUAGUGGCGAACGGGUGAGUAACACGUGAGCAACCUGCCCCUGACUCUGGGAUAAGCGCUGGAAACGGUGUCUAAUACUGGAUAUGUCCCAUCGCCGCAUGGUGUGUGGGUGGAAAGAUUUUUCGGUUGGGGAUGGGCUCGCGGCCUAUCAGCUUGUUGGUGAGGUAAUGGCUUACCAAGGCGUCGACGGGUAGCCGGCCUGAGAGGGUGACCGGCCACACUGGGACUGAGACACGGCCCAGACUCCUACGGGAGGCAGCAGUGGGGAAUAUUGCACAAUGGGCGGAAGCCUGAUGCAGCAACGCCGCGUGAGGGAUGACGGCCUUCGGGUUGUAAACCUCUUUUAGCAGGGAAGAAGCUUUUGUGACGGUACCUGCAGAAAAAGCACCGGCUAACUACGUGCCAGCAGCCGCGGUAAUACGUAGGGUGCAAGCGUUAUCCGGAAUUAUUGGGCGUAAAGAGCUCGUAGGCGGUUUGUCGCGUCUGUCGUGAAAUCCUCAGGCUCAACCUGAGGCUUGCGGUGGGUACGGGCAAACUUGAGUGCGGUAGGGGAGAUUGGAAUUCCUGGUGUAGCGGUGGAAUGCGCAGAUAUCAGGAGGAACACCGAUGGCGAAGGCAGAUCUCUGGGCCGUAACUGACGCUGAGGAGCGAAAGGGUGGGGAGCAAACAGGCUUAGAUACCCUGGUAGUCCACCCCGUAAACGUUGGGAACUAGUUGUGGGGGUCCCUUCCACGGAUUCCGUGACGCAGCUAACGCAUUAAGUUCCCCGCCUGGGGAGUACGGCCGCAAGGCUAAAACUCAAAGGAAUUGACGGGGACCCGCACAAGCGGCGGAGCAUGCGGAUUAAUUCGAUGCAACGCGAAGAACCUUACCAAGGCUUGACAUAUUCGAGAACACCCUGGAAACAGGGGACUCUUUGGACACUCGUUUACAGGUGGUGCAUGGUUGUCGUCAGCUCGUGUCGUGAGAUGUUGGGUUAAGUCCCGCAACGAGCGCAACCCUCGUUCUAUGUUGCCAGCACGUUAUGGUGGGAACUCAUGGGAUACUGCCGGGGUCAACUCGGAGGAAGGUGGGGAUGACGUCAAAUCAUCAUGCCCCUUAUGUCUUGGGCUUCACGCAUGCUACAAUGGCCGGUACAAUGGGCUGCGAUACCGUGAGGUGGAGCGAAUCCCAAAAAGCCGGUCCCAGUUCGGAUUGUAGUCUGCAACUCGACUACAUGAAGUCGGAGUCGCUAGUAAUCGCAGAUCAGCAACGCUGCGGUGAAUACGUUCCCGGGUCUUGUACACACCGCC